GACGAACGCUGGCGGCGUGCCUAAUACAUGCAAGUCGAGCGAAGUUUUUCUGGUGCUUGCACCGGAAAAACUUAGCGGCGAACGGGUGAGUAACACGUAAAGAACCUGCCUUAUAGACUGGGACAACUAUUGGAAACGAUAGCUAAUACCGGAUAACAGCAUUAACUGCAUGGUUGAUGUUUGAAAGUUGGUUUUGCUAACACUAUGAGAUGGCUUUGCGGUGCAUUAGCUAGUUGGUGGGGUAAAGGCCUACCAAGGCGACGAUGCAUAGCCGACCUGAGAGGGUGAUCGGCACACUGGGACUGAGACACGGCCCAGACUCCUACGGGAGGCAGCAGUAGGGAAUCUUCCGCAAUGGGCGAAAGCCUGACGGAGCAACGCCGCGUGAGUGAAGAAGGAUUUCGGUUCGUAAAGCUCUGUUGUUAGGGAAGAAUGAUUGUGUAGUAACUAUACACAGUAGAGACGGUACCUAACCAGAAAGCCACGGCUAACUACGUG
This 498-nucleotide ribosomal RNA is filed under the name uncultured bacterium. RNAcentral describes it as "partial 16S ribosomal RNA". It matches the Rfam family "Bacterial small subunit ribosomal RNA", at positions 28 to 507 of the family's 1533-position model. The record is from RNAcentral.